ACCCCCUACAAAGUUGUGCCUUUGGUUCCCUGUCUUUGUAUACAUAAAAAUUGGAGGCAAAGAAAUGUGGAUUUGGAGAAGUCUGGGGGGCAUUUCCCAUGGGCUCAAGAUCAAUCAUCCCACAUAG
RNAcentral lists this small nucleolar RNA (127 nucleotides) under Sciurus vulgaris (Eurasian red squirrel). RNAcentral's name for it is "Small nucleolar RNA SNORA38 (ENSSVLG00005007312.1)". It matches the Rfam family "Small nucleolar RNA SNORA38". Rfam says of the family: ACA38 is a member of the H/ACA class of snoRNA that guide the sites of modification of uridines to pseudouridines. The record is from Rfam by way of RNAcentral. Lineage: Eukaryota; Metazoa; Chordata; Mammalia; Rodentia; Sciuridae.